This is a non-coding RNA of Zootermopsis nevadensis, 85 nucleotides long. NCBI's taxonomy places the organism in Eukaryota, Metazoa, Arthropoda, Insecta, Blattodea, Termopsidae. The record is from Rfam.
UCUUUGAGGCCUUUGGUGGGCGUAGGUCUGGUACACGUGUUUUAGAAAUUGUGACUAGAUCUACACUCAUCAAGGGAACCGAGGA